Molecule: unclassified non-coding RNA, 330 nt
Filed under: uncultured fungus
Lineage: Eukaryota; Fungi
Description: sequence contains ITS2
Source: RNAcentral
AACGCACCUUGCACCUUAUGGUAUUCCGUAAGGUAUGCCCGUUUGAGUGUCAUUGAAUCAUCAAACCUACAACAUUUCGUUGCUAGUGGCUUGGUUAUGAGGGUUUUUGCGGGCUCUCUUCACGAGUCGGCUCCCUUUAAAUUCAUUAGCGAGACUUCCCUUUGCUGAACCGUCUCUGGCGUGAUAAUUAUCUGCGUCAAAGUCGCGGUUCUCGUCGGGCUUGCUUCUAAUAGUCUCUUGACUCGAGACGAUUAGGAUUUGAGCGCAUAUAUGCGCACAUUUCUGAACUCUUUUGACCUCAAAUCGGGUAGGACUACCCGCUGAACUUAA